GUGGUGGUUCAGUGGCAGAAUUCUUGCCUUCCAUGCAGAAGACCUGGAUUCAAUUUCCUGCAAACACA
This 68-nucleotide transfer RNA is filed under the name Loxodonta africana (African savanna elephant). It matches the Rfam family "tRNA". From Rfam's summary of the family: Transfer RNA (tRNA) molecules are approximately 80 nucleotides in length. Their secondary structure includes four short double-helical elements and three loops (D, anti-codon, and T loops). Lineage: Eukaryota; Metazoa; Chordata; Mammalia; Proboscidea; Elephantidae. The record is from Rfam by way of RNAcentral.